CUGUAGAGCUACAAAGUGAUGUAGCAUCAAAGAAUCCAUUUCUAAGCACUCAGAAGAGAAGACGGUGAUUAGGAACCGUCAGGACAGAUUCGCCAAAGACAAGUCAUGCCCGACCAACCUGAUUGCCUUCUAGGAUGAGAUGACUGGCUCUGUGGAUGCAGGGAGACCAGGGGAU
Long non-coding RNA from Gavialis gangeticus (Gharial), 175 nucleotides. RefSeq lists it as uncharacterized. The record is from RefSeq and is a predicted model, not a curated record. The transcript has 3 exons. Lineage: Eukaryota; Metazoa; Chordata; Crocodylia; Gavialidae.